GGUCAAGCGAACAAGUGCAUGUGGUGGAUGCCUUGGCGAUCACAGGCGAUGAAGGACGCGGUAGCCUGCGAAAAGCUACGGGGAGCUGGCAAACGAGCUUUGAUCCGUAGAUGUCCGAAUGGGGAAACCCACUCCUUUUGGAGUAUCCAUGACUGAAUACAUAGGUCAUGUGAAGCGAACGCGGUGAACUGAAACAUCUAAGUAACCGCAGGAAAAGAAAUCAACCGAGAUUCCCAAAGUAGUGGCGAGCGAAAUGGGAAGAGCCUGUACUCUUUAUUUGUAUUGUUAGCCGAACGCUCUGGAAAGUGCGGCCAUAGCAGGUGAUAGCCCUGUAGGCGAAAACAGUAUGAAAGAACUAGGUGUACGACAAGUAGGGCGGGACACGUGAAAUCCUGUCUGAAGAUGGGGGGACCAUCCUCCAAGGCUAAAUACUCGUGAUCGACCGAUAGUGAACCAGUACCGUGAGGGAAAGGUGAAAAGAACCCCGGGAGGGGAGUGAAAUAGAUCCUGAAACCGCAUGCAUACAAACAGUCGGAGCCUCGUAAGGGGUGACGGCGUACCUUUUGUAUAAUGGGUCAGCGACUUACGUUCAGUAGCAAGCUUAACCGAAUAGGGCAGGCGUAGCGAAAGCGAGUCCGAAUAGGGCGUUCAGUUGCUGGGCGUAGACCCGAAACCAAGUGAUCUAUCCAUGGCCAGGAUGAAGGUGCGGUAACACGUACUGGAGGUCCGAACCCACUAACGUUGAAAAGUUAGGGGAUGAGCUGUGGAUAGGGGUGAAAGGCUAAACAAACUUGGAAAUAGCUGGUUCUCUCCGAAAACUAUUUAGGUAGUGCCUCGUGUCUCACCUUCGGGGGUAGAGCACUGUCAUGGUUGGGGGGUCUAUUGCAGAUUACCCCGCCAUAGCAAACUCCGAAUACCGAAGAGUGCAAUCACGGGAGACAGACAUCGGGUGCUAACGUCCGGUGUCAAGAGGGAAACAACCCAGACCGCCAGCUAAGGUCCCCAAAUAUGGCUAAGUGGGAAACGAAGUGGGAAGGCUAAAACAGUCAGGAGGUUGGCUUAGAAGCAGCCACCCUUUAAAGAAAGCGUAAUAGCUCACUGAUCGAGUCGUCCUGCGCGGAAGAUGUAACGGGGCUAAGCCAUAUACCGAAGCUGCGGAUGCGAGCUAGUCUCGCAUGGUAGGAGAGCGUUCCGUAAGCCUGCGAAGGUGCAUUGUAAAGUGUGCUGGAGGUAUCGGAAGUGCGAAUGCUGACAUGAGUAGCGAUAAAGGGGGUGAAAGGCCCCCUCGCCGUAAGCCCAAGGUUUCCUACGCAACGUUCAUCGGCGUAGGGUGAGUCGGCCCCUAAGGCGAGGCAGAAAUGCGUAGCUGAUGGGAAGCAGGUCAAUAUUCCUGCACCAUUGUUAAAUGCGAUGGGGGGACGGAUCGCGGAAGGUUGUCCGGGUGUUGGAAGUCCCGGUCGCUGCAUUGGAGAAGGCGCUUAGGCAAAUCCGGGCGCGGAAUUCAAGGGUGUGGCGCGAGCUUCUUCGGAAGCGAAGCAAUCGGAAGUGGUUCCAAGAAAAGCCUCUAAGCUUCAGUUUAACAGUGACCGUACCGCAAACCGACACAGGUGGGCGAGAUGAGUAUUCUAAGGCGCUUGAGAGAACUCGGGAGAAGGAACUCGGCAAAUUGGUACCGUAACUUCGGGAUAAGGUACGCCCCUGUAGCUUGACUGGCCUGCGCCAGAAGGGUGAAGGGGUUGCAAUAAACUGGUGGCUGCGACUGUUUAAUAAAAACACAGCACUCUGCAAACACGAAAGUGGACGUAUAGGGUGUGACGCCUGCCCGGUGCCGGAAGAUUAAAUGAUGGGGUGCAAGCUCUUGAUUGAAGUCCCGGUAAACGGCGGCCGUAACUAUAACGGUCCUAAGGUAGCGAAAUUCCUUGUCGGGUAAGUUCCGACCUGCACGAAUGGCGUAACGAUGGCCACACUGUCUCCUCCCGAGACUCAGCGAAGUUGAAGUGUUUGUGAUGAUGCAAUCUCCCCGCGGCUAGACGGAAAGACCCCAUGAACCUUUACUGUAGCUUUGCAUUGGACUUUGAACCGAUCUGUGUAGGAUAGGUGGGAGGCUAUGAAACCGGAACGCUAGUUUCGGUGGAGCCGUCCUUGAAAUACCACCCUGGUUUGUUUGAGGUUCUAACCUUGGCCCGUGAUCCGGGUCGGGGACAGUGCAUGGUAGGCAGUUUGACUGGGGCGGUCUCCUCCCAAAGUGUAACGGAGGAGUACGAAGGUACGCUAGGUACGGUCGGAAAUCGUGCUGAUAGUGCAAUGGCAUAAGCGUGCUUAACUGCGAGACCGACAAGUCGAGCAGGUGCGAAAGCAGGUCAUAGUGAUCCGGUGGUUCUGUAUGGAAGGGCCAUCGCUCAACGGAUAAAAGGUACUCUGGGGAUAACAGGCUGAUACCGCCCAAGAGUUCAUAUCGACGGCGGUGUUUGGCACCUCGAUGUCGGCUCAUCUCAUCCUGGGGCUGUAGCCGGUCCCAAGGUAUGGCUGUUCGCCAUUUAAAGAGGUACGUGAGCUGGGUUUAAAACGUCGUGAGACAGUUUGGUCCCUAUCUGCCGUGGGCGUUGGAUAUUUGAAGGGGGCUGCUCCUAGUACGAGAGGACCGGAGUGGACGAACCUCUGGUGUACCGGUUGUCACGCCAGUGGCAUCGCCGGGUAGCUAUGUUCGGAAGAGAUAACCGCUGAAAGCAUCUAAGCGGGAAACUCGCCUUAAGAUGAGAUAUCCCCGGGGACUUGAUCCCCUUGAAGGGUCGUUCGAGACCAGGACGUUGAUAGGUCAGGUGUGUAAGCGCAGUAAUGCGUUCAGCUAACUGAUACUAAUUGCCCGUAAGGCUUGAUCCUA
RNAcentral lists this ribosomal RNA (2881 nucleotides) under Burkholderia glumae BGR1. RNAcentral describes it as "bacterial LSU rRNA". It matches the Rfam family "Bacterial large subunit ribosomal RNA". Lineage: Bacteria; Pseudomonadati; Pseudomonadota; Betaproteobacteria; Burkholderiales; Burkholderiaceae. The record is from RNAcentral.